UGACGUUAGCGGCGGACGGGUGAGUAACACGUGGAUAACCUACCUAUAAGACUGGGAUAACUUCGGGAAACCGGAGCUAAUACCGGAUAAUAUAUUGAACCGCAUGGUUCAAUAGUGAAAGACGGCCUUGCUGUCACUUAUAGAUGGAUCCGCGCCGCAUUAGCUAGUUGGUAAGGUAACGGCUUACCAAGGCAACGAUGCGUAGCCGACCUGAGAGGGUGAUCGGCCACACUGGAACUGAGACACGGUCCAGACUCCUACGGGAGGCAGCAGUAGGGAAUCUUCCGCAAUGGGCGAAAGCCUGACGGAGCAACGCCGCGUGAGUGAUGAAGGUCUUCGGAUCGUAAAACUCUGUUAUUAGGGAAGAACAAAUGUGUAAGUAACUGUGCACGUCUUGACGGUACCUGAUCAGAAAGCCACGGCUAACUACGUGCCAGCAGCCGCGGUAAUACGUAGGUGGCAAGCGUUAUCCGGAAUUAUUGGGCGUAAAGCGCGCGUAGGCGGUUUUUUAAGUCUGAUGUGAAAGCCCACGGCUCAACCGUGGAGGGUCAUUGGAAACUGGAAAACUUGAGUGCAGAAGAGGAAAGUGGAAUUCCAUGUGUAGCGGUGAAAUGCGCAGAGAUAUGGAGGAACACCAGUGGCGAAGGCGACUUUCUGGUCUGUAACUGACGCUGAUGUGCGAAAGCGUGGGGAUCAAACAGGAUUAGAUACCCUGGUAGUCCACGCCGUAAACGAUGAGUGCUAAGUGUUAGGGGGUUUCCGCCCCUUAGUGCUGCAGCUAACGCAUUAAGCACUCCGCCUGGGGGAGUACGACCGCAAGGUUGAAACUCAAAGGAAUUGACGGGGGACCCGCACAAGCGGUGGAGCAUGUGGGUUUAAUUCGAAGCAACGCGAAGAACCUUACCAAAUCUUGACAUCCUUUGACCCCUCUAAAGAUAGAGUUUUUCCCCUUUCGGGGGGACAAAGUGACAGGGGGGUGCAUGGGUUGUCGUUCGCCUCGUGGUCGUGAAAAUGUUGGGGUUAAGUCCCCGCAACGAAGCGCAACCCUUUAAGCUUAAGUGGCCAUCAUUUAAGUUGGGGCACUCCUAAGUUGGACUGGCCGGGGGACAAACCCGGAAGGAAAGGGGGGGGGAUGGACGUCCAAAUC
RNAcentral lists this ribosomal RNA (1147 nucleotides) under Staphylococcus epidermidis. RNAcentral describes it as "bacterial SSU rRNA". It matches the Rfam family "Bacterial small subunit ribosomal RNA", at positions 87 to 1191 of the family's 1533-position model. Lineage: Bacteria; Bacillati; Bacillota; Bacilli; Caryophanales; Staphylococcaceae. The record is from RNAcentral.